Molecule: ribosomal RNA, 468 nt
Filed under: uncultured bacterium
Lineage: Bacteria
Description: partial 16S ribosomal RNA
Rfam family: Bacterial small subunit ribosomal RNA
Source: RNAcentral
GACGAACGCUGGCGGCGCGCCUAACACAUGCAAGUCGAACGGAGCUGAGAGAAGCUUGCUUUUCUUAGCUUAGUGGCGAACGGGUGAGUAACGCGUGAGUAACCUGCCCUGGAGUGGGGGACAACAGUUGGAAACGACUGCUAAUACCGCAUAAGCCCACGAUCCGGCAUCGGAUUGAGGGAAAAGGAUUUAUUCGCUUCAGGAUGGACUCGCGUCCAAUUAGCUAGUUGGUGAGGUAACGGCCCACCAAGGCGACGAUUGGUAGUCGGACUGAGAGGUUGAGCGGCCACAUUGGGACUGAGACACGGCCCAGACUCCUACGGGAGGCAGCAGUGGGGGAUAUUGCACAAUGGGGGAAACCCUGAUGCAGCGACGCCGCGUGGAGGAAGAAGGUUUUCGGAUUGUAAACUCCUGUCGUUAGGGACGAUAAUGACGGUACCUAAAAAGAAAGCACCGGCUAACUACGUG